GACGAACGCUGGCGGCGUGCCUAACACAUGCAAGUCGAGCGGGGAGUUAAGUGGAAGUUCUUCUGAAUGGAGAUUUAAAUUCUAGCGGCGGCCGGGUGAGUAACGCGUGAACAAUCUGUCCCGGACAGGGGGAUAACACUUGGAAACAGGAGCUAAUACCGCAUAAGACCACGGCCUCGCAUGGGGCUGAGGUAAAAGGAGCAAUCCGGUUCGGGGUGCGUUCGCGUCCGAUUAGCGAGUUGGUGAGGUAACGGCCCACCAAGGCGACGAUCGGUAGCCGGCCUGAGAGGGUGAACGGCCACAUUGGAACUGAGAGGCGGUACAAUCCCCUACGGGAGGCAGGAGUGGGGAAUAUUGGGCAAUGGGCGAGCGCCUGACCCAGCAACGCCGCGUGAGAGAAGAAGGUUUUCGGAUUGUAAACCUCUGUCCUAUGGGACGAAGGAAGUGACGGUACCAUAGGAGGAAGCCCCGGCUAACUACGUG
Molecule: ribosomal RNA, 483 nt
Filed under: uncultured bacterium
Lineage: Bacteria
Description: partial 16S ribosomal RNA
Rfam family: Bacterial small subunit ribosomal RNA
Source: RNAcentral